This 410-nucleotide ribosomal RNA is filed under the name bacterium. Its description in RNAcentral is "partial 16S ribosomal RNA". It matches the Rfam family "Bacterial small subunit ribosomal RNA", at positions 355 to 776 of the family's 1533-position model. The record is from RNAcentral.
UGGGGAAUUUUGCACAAUGGGCGGAAGCCUGAUGCAGCGACGCCGUGUGGGGGAUGAAGGCCUUCGGGUUGUAAACUCCUUUCGUCAGGGACGAAGUUUGUUUGACGGUACCUGGAUAAGAAGCACCGGCUAACUACGUGCCAGCAGCCGCGGUAAUACGUAGGGUGCGAGCGUUGUCCGGAUUUACUGGGCGUAAAGGGCUCGUAGGUGGUGUGUUGCGUCGUCUGUGUAAUCCAGGGGCUUAACUUUUGGAUGGCAGGCGAUACGGGCAUUGCUUGAGUGCUGUAGGGGAGACUGGAAUUCCUGGUGUAGCGGUGAAAUGCGCAGAUAUCAGGAGGAACACCGAUGGCGAAGGCAGGUCUCUGGGCAGUUACUGACGCUGAGGAGCGAGAGCAUGGGUAGCGAACAGG